Molecule: long non-coding RNA, 1141 nt
Organism: Cucurbita maxima (winter squash)
Lineage: Eukaryota; Viridiplantae; Streptophyta; Magnoliopsida; Cucurbitales; Cucurbitaceae
Exons: 2
Source: RefSeq, a predicted model, not a curated record
CCUUGGCAUAACAUUAAAUUAUAAACUGGAAUGUGAGAAACAGGGUAGCAGUGGACCUAUGGUCGAUCCUUGCUUUGGCUUACUCAUUUGAAAAUCCAAGUUUUGCAUUUUUCCAGCUCUGCUAUGAGCCAUCUAUAGUAUCUUGAUCCCAUUUUGUUCUGAUCCUUUUUAUAUUCAGUUUAUCGUGAUAUCUUAUGUGCUACAUGGGAAGUCUAGUCACACCAGAAUAUUCUGACUGUAUCUUCAAAUUCUUAAUAAACCUCAAAAUAAUUUGCUCUAUAGAUCUAUAGAGUUUUGAAGGAUCACAAUUCACAUCAGCUACUGAUCUGAUUGUUCCAUUUUUCUUGGGGUUUUCUUGUUUAUCUUUGAACUCGAUAGGAAUGUGAAACAACAAAGAAAUCUUGUUCAAACUAUCGGGAGGGUUAAAAGAUGAUAAUGUAGAUAUUUUUUUUAUGGUAGCAAGUUAAGUAAAGUUCCAAAGGGUACAUCCACACUUGCAUCAGACCUCCCAAAAUCCCUGAAAAAGAUUCACCGUCCUCCCAUAUAUUAUAAGUACAAGAAAGCUUCCUAAUCGAAGCAAUAACUGAAAAGGGAUAACUACAAAAAUCUUUAUCUGUAGAAAUCCAUUAUGAACAGCCAAGUUUUUGCACAUUCAAAUACUUCUUCCUGUUCUCUUGAAACACCCCUUGAAAUUCUACUAUUUCUUUGCAAACAUAAGCUCCCUAAAAUUGCUUUAACAUUCCCCACAGUUAUUUUAGUUAAAUUACCAUUUAUAUUAAUAGGUUAUAAGAUUUAAUGAAAAUGUAAUUUUUUUUCCGUAAUGACAGACAACAUAUUAAUGAAGUAGCUGAUUUGCAUUUCUCUGAAGAUGCAUCCAUACUUUUAUGAAGCAUCAGACUUCAGAGUUGCAAAAAUAUUUCAAAGAGGAAGAAGAAGAAAAAGAAACCCACAACAUCAUUCUUAUUUCUUAUACCUUGUUGUGCCUCGUCAUAAGCAUUAUCAAGUGAAUUAAUUGAAAAGUUUAUGAUUUUAUCUAAUUCUUUUUGUCUUUCCCAUCAAAUCCAAAAGUUAUUUAUGUCUUAGCUCUUGGAUGUAAAUGUUCUUUCUUGACUUUGGAUGUCUAAGCUGUCAUGCUUCAAUA